UGAUAUGAGAAUCCUUAGCAGAUAAUGCUUACAAUUGGGAAUGAAUUCUGAAGAGGUAAAAAGUGAUUAAUUUGGCCAGACGAUUGGUUGGAGGGCUUUGACUUGGAGUGUCUAUUAUGAAAUUGAAGAAUAGAAUAGUCAAAUAAAUUGAUCCAACUUCAAAGGAAAGGGAGUGGAAGAAGCAUUAUAAAAACAAUGGGGAGUGACAAAAGAAAUGAAGUACUUCAUAAGCGUUAUAAUAAAUUGACAUUGUCAUUUAUGCUUUGGAUUUGUAUUUUGGCGUACAGCACUUUGUUGAGUCAGGUCCUUGGGUUUGGAAUUUUGUUGAUCAAGAGCAUGUGGUUACUUUAAUGCCAUGUUUGGAAAGGUGGAAA
RNAcentral lists this unclassified non-coding RNA (374 nucleotides) under Hevea brasiliensis (rubber tree). The record is from RNAcentral. Lineage: Eukaryota; Viridiplantae; Streptophyta; Magnoliopsida; Malpighiales; Euphorbiaceae.